Non-coding RNA from Rattus norvegicus (Norway rat), 1992 nucleotides. Lineage: Eukaryota; Metazoa; Chordata; Mammalia; Rodentia; Muridae. The record is from RefSeq and is a predicted model, not a curated record.
CCUUGUGUUCUUGAAAUCUUCCCAAAUGGCCCCUUAUUAGUUUCCUGUCUUCUAUGAACCUUCCCAUUUAAGCACACAUAUCUAAAGAUUCAAAACUAGCAUCUAUAUCUGAGAGAGAACAUGUGGCAUUUGCCUUUUUGAAUCUGGGUUACCUCACUCAAAUGCUUAUUUUCAGCUCCAUCCAAUUAUAUUUUGCCCUUCUUAACAUCAUGCACAAAGGCAAAGGGGUUGCUGUACUAUUUGUGGAGAUGCCCAGAUAAACAAAACACCAUAUUCCAUGUCAUAAAAAGUAUAGCAAGAUAAAUGUGUAAAUAUUUCAUACAUGUUAAUAAUGACACUUAUGAUAAAUUGCUAUUAUUAGCACAUAUACUUAUUGUACUAAGCUUUUAUACCAGCAUUUCACAGCAUUCUUCUAUUUAGGUUAAAAAUUUAAAGUAGUGUUCUGCAUUAUGCUUUGGGUAUCUUUACAUACAUCCUGUUUGUCAUUUCCUGAUUACCAUGGGGCUACCUAGAGUGGCUGAUCUACUCAUUACUUAUUUGGGGAAAGCCUCAUUCUGGAGUUUCCACAGUCAUAAAGCCAUCUAACAGGUAUUUCUCAGAACAUAUUCUUGCUCUUAAGUAACAUGUUAAUAUGUGGAAAGAUGUAUUUGAAGAGGGUCAGAAGUAGAGAUGUAAAGAGGAAACAUCCCUUCCCCAUCUACACUCACAACACAGAGAUGAUAACCCCAACCCCAGGGAAAGAAGCAGAACCUGAACUGCAGGGUUUAACCUUAGCAACAACCCUAUCCCAGUGAGACUCCUAAACAGCCCUGUCCCAGUGAGACUCCUAAGGUGAGGCCGUCUACUAUAGCAAUAGCUUUCAAGCUACUUCUCAUGGAUCUAGCCCCUAAGUAAGCAUGUAUUCACCCAGUCUACAGACUGAAUUUAAUGCGUCAGAUCUCCACAUUACCUUCCAUAUGUCCACUUCCCAAGAAAGCACCCACAGUUUCAUACACAAGGCUAGAAUCUGCGAUCUGAAGUUACAGAUUAGUUCUUCAUACCAACUUUAAUAUAUUGCCAGCCAUUCGGCCCCCGUAAAUCCUUUUCAUAGGAGUCCCAAUUAUUACCUCACACAGGGGCUCUGAGAUCAUUCUUUCACACACAAUUUCCAGAACAGAUUGCAUUGACCUAGACUCCAUCCAUGUCUGAAAACUUGAACUCCAUAAUAUCUAGUUUGUUUCAGAAUUUUCAGGCUUACGGCUCACCUAGUACUAGAUCAACUUAGAGUGUGUCUUUAGUUCAUAUUGUGAGGAUAUAGACUUCAUGUUCAUCCCCACUGAUCGAGUCAGAACGGUUAAUCCCGUUUCCAUUGACGGCAAAGCCAUCGUGCUAAAAGAUCCCUAGAGAAGCAAACCUGUGGGCUGUGCUAAAUGGCUACAGUAGAAUAUCCUGAUAGGGAAACAAGUGAACGGCUCUCACAGAGAAAGGUAGUCUGCGUAUCUAGAAUAAAUUCUAAUGCCUUUAAAUACAGAUCGUAACAAUGAAUACGGAACGUGAAAAAGUAGGAAGACAUUAUUCCAUCAAGAUGGUAGAAUGAUAUUUAAGUAGCUGAUGUGGGAAAAGUAGACAUAUUCCAGCAAAGAUGUAAAACAAGUCUAGUAAGAAGAAGAAAAAAUGGGAGAGGAAGAAAGAUUGAGAAUGGAGAAAGAGAUGAGACACAAUGAAGUUUCAGACAAGAAACAAGUCAGACUGCAUUGAUCUGCAUCCUGGUACUCAGCUCCCUGACAAAACUGAUUCUCUGACAAGAGUUGAAGGCUCCUUCCAUCAGCCAAAUUGAUUGCAACUGACAUUUGACAAAGUGGCUAAUCAGAGCAGUCGUCAGUUCCCUUCAGGGUAGAAGCUAUACAAUCAGACAGUCUCUCAUUGGCCAGAGAGACACCAAAUUAAAAGCAAAGGACCAGGUACUUCAGCACACUCAAUAAAGAGAUAAACUAACAUCCAAAUAUAAGCCAA